AGAAUAUUCUGACAAAGCUCUGGUCGAUGGAGUAGAAAAAAAUUUCAAAGAAAAGAAAUGCCUUUCAUUACCGAUAAUAGGAAUACCAUGUCGAUCCAGAAUGACACAAAAGCAAAAAGCUGAAAAUGAAGAAGCAAAAAUAAUUGCAAUCUUAACAGAAGAAGGAUUGAUAAGCCAACCAAAAAAUUAGAACCGCUGGAGGAUUAAGUUUUGAAAUAGUACAGGCUCAUCCAAGACGAGAGAAACCUCCACUCUUUUUAGAAAGGCUGGAAACUCACAAAUCUGAUAGAAUUGUUACAAUCGAUGAACAGCUGGAACGGAUAAGAAAAGCAGAACAAAGAAGAAAGGAAAGAGAAGAAGGUGUCGUUAAAAGAAAUCAAAUUUUGUCACAAAAAAAAUAGCCGUAUUAGAAAGUGUUAAUGAGAGAAAAAGAGAAAAUGAAGAAAAUUUGGAAGAGAAGAUGAUGAAAAUUGAAGAGAAGAGAGAAAAAAGAUUGGAAGAGAUCAGAGAACGGAUGAAGGAACGAGAAAGAAGAGCUGAAAGAGUAAGACUGAGGAAAGGGCUCAAUCUAGAUAAUGUAGGAGGCGUUGAUGGUGAGCAAGAAAAUUAGAAAUGACCACAUCAUUCUAGAACUGGAGUAAGAUGUUUGGAUUAAGAUGUCACCUAUCUCACUUGUG
Patella vulgata (common limpet) is the source of this 677-nucleotide long non-coding RNA. RefSeq lists it as uncharacterized. The record is from RefSeq and is a predicted model, not a curated record. The transcript is spliced from 3 exons. Lineage: Eukaryota; Metazoa; Mollusca; Gastropoda; Patellidae.